Long non-coding RNA from Passer domesticus (house sparrow), 1872 nucleotides. RefSeq lists it as uncharacterized. The transcript has 2 exons. NCBI's taxonomy places the organism in Eukaryota, Metazoa, Chordata, Aves, Passeriformes, Passeridae. The record is from RefSeq and is a predicted model, not a curated record.
UGGCCUGGACAGAGAUCACAUCAUUUCACAGUGUAAAGGAAUAAAAGGCACAGAUUCUGCCUGAAUAAGGGUUAUUUAUUACCAAACCAAUAAUUCCUGAGGGAAACAAGAGGAAGGCUGCACCUCAGCAGUGCUCAGGUGCCCCAGCUGGAAUGAAAAGGUGACAAACAAUCUGCAGCUGCAAGCACUUUGGGGCAGGAAGGCAGAGAUUUGUGUCCUGGCUGAGUGGCUAAAGGAGAACAUCAACAGUUUAUCAGUUCAAAGGACAAGAAGCACUUCUGGAGUCUGAGGCUCAAUAGAUGCCAGGAUCUCACUCCUGCAAGAAUGGGGAGAGAGGCAGGUCACUCCUCCAGGUCUCUACAUGUGUGCAUGAUGAGCACUUGAAGGUCUUCUACAAGGACAUAACCAAUACCUCCUGGGAUAUUCCUGCCUGUGAGGGAUUUGUUAAGGUUUCACAAGCACACCAGGCUGAAACUGCUGUUCCUCAAUCCUCCCGUUUCCUGUCACUAAGGUGUGAUGGAGGAAAUCCUACUUUUAAAUGACAGCACUGCAUCCAGCUUGGACUUGCCCUAUUGUGGGAUCUGGUGACAAGGAGGGAUCAGCACCAACAAAGAGAUGAGAGAAGAAAUGCAAAAGCCAACCAUGAAACCAUCUGUCCUCUUCCCUUCCUCCACAAUGUCUCCGUUCAGGUUGCUUCAGCUGCAAGAACCUUUACCCUAAAGAUGCCAAGAUUUUCCUAGAGCUUGCAUGGAACAAAAGAAAAUUUUGUGUCUGUUCAACUCAGUGCCAGAAUGCAAUGCUGAGCCUCAGUGUUGUACAUAAUUCCUUUUCAUCAUGUGCUCUUUUGUCUUUUAGUAAGUUUAAAUAACACUUCUGUGAUUUUCAAGUUGUCUUUUUGAGCCUCAUGUUCUUCCAAAGCCCUCUUCCCCUAUUCUGCAAUUGGCCAUUUGAAGCCCCAAUUUUCUCUUCAGCUCUUGAAAGAACUGAAAUACUUUUUGUUGAGAGAGCGUUCAGCACACUCAAAAAUAUGAAUAAAAUGUCUCUGAACAAUUAAUUGAUACUUAUAUUUUAUUCACCUUCCGUACCCUUUCCAAGGAUGAAAUGCUGUUCCUGUAAUGUCUUUGCAAGUGGAAAGUUUGGACUUAAAUUAAUAACAAUUUCAAACUAAGAGAAAAAUUAUUUCUCAUCCAUUUGAUUAAUCAAAUCCAGCAUGAAAUAUUUAUAUAGAUAAAUUAAAAGAUAUGAAUCAAAGUGAAAGUCUGGAGCCAAGAGACCACUGCGAUUAUUUAGAUAAAAGAAAAAUCAAAACAGAAAAGAUAAAUUAUGUAAUUAAGCAGUUGACUGCACUCCUGCACUACAGCAGGUUUCUAAAAACAGCCUGAACUGUGUUACAGUGGAACUUCAGCUUUGCCACAGCUUUGGACAUCAAUGUUCCCUCUCUUCUUCCCUUCAGUGAGGUUGUGAUUGAGGAACUGAGCAACAAUGAAGUUUUCCUUCAGAUUUAUUGGAUUGCAUAAGGUGCCACCUUCAGUAGUAAUUUCUUCAAUACAGCUGCCUAAACACAAGAAACAUAGAAGCAAACCCAAGGAAUAUAGUGAAAAUAGAAAAAUAAAGGAAAGAAAGGGCAGUAUUUAAUAAAGUCUAAGCUCCUAGUGCUGAAUUGGAAUGGCAGACACCUGGGACUGCUUUUUACAAUGAUGGGACAACAUAUUCCAGAAAAGGCUGACAUUUGGAAAAAAUCUUGUAAACAGAUGCCAAGCAGGAUGAGACACAUUCCCUUAGGAGGUUUAAGGACUAAGAACCUGUGUAUUCUUAUCAGCUCAUCAAGCUGUAAUCAAAGUUUAAUAUAAACAAUAAAAUAUCAAUAUCUUG